UAUCUCUGUAGAGUCUGCAUAUCAAUAAGCGGAGGAAAAGAAACUAACAAGGAUUCCCCUAGUAACGGCGAGUGAAGCGGGAAGAGCUCAAAUUUGAAGUCUUCAAGGUUUUACCUUGACGAAUUGUAGUUUAAAGAAGUGUUUUCUGUUGAAGUUUCGGUAAAAGUUCUUUGGAAUAGGACAUCAUAGAGGGUGAGAAUCCCGUAUUUGACCGUUAUUUUCAGCUGUGUGAUACACUUUCAAAGAGUCGGAUUGUUUGGGAAUGCAGUCCAAAAUGGGUGGUAAAUUUCAUCUAAAGCUAAAUAUUGGCGAGAGACCGAUAGCGAACAAGUACCGUGAGGGAAAGAUGAAGAGAACUUUGAAAAGAGAGUUAAACAGUACGUGAAAUUGUCAAAAGGGAAGCGUUUGACACCAGUGUUGUUUUCUCGAAAAUCAAUUAAAAAAGGCAGGAUUUUGUGUUGUAUUGACUUUAUCAGCUUCCUGCACUCUUUUCUUGUCUUUUUUUAAUGCACUUUUCGUUUAACAAGUCAACAUCAAUUUCUUUUGUUGUAAAAGGGUCAUUGGAAGGUGGCUUUCUUUUCGGAGAAAGUGUUUAUAGCCUUUGGCCUCUGCAAUCGGAGAGAUUGAGGUCUGCAGCGUAGAUCCUUCGGGGUUAGAUACACUUUGUGCUAAGUUAGUAGCCUUUCAUAGACAACUUGUUGACUAUGAUCAGUCAUGUAGCUUACUCGCUAAUGCUAUUUUACCUACGCUUAGGAUGUUGAUAGUCACAGCGUGUAC
RNAcentral lists this ribosomal RNA (777 nucleotides) under uncultured Neocallimastigales. RNAcentral's name for it is "partial large subunit ribosomal RNA". It matches the Rfam family "Eukaryotic large subunit ribosomal RNA", at positions 24 to 629 of the family's 3401-position model. The record is from RNAcentral. Lineage: Eukaryota; Fungi; Neocallimastigomycota; Neocallimastigomycetes; Neocallimastigales.